UACUCCUACGGGAGGCAGCAGUGGGGAAUAUUGGACAAUGGGCGCAAGCCUGAUCCAGCCAUGCCGCGUGAGUGAUGAAGGCCUUAGGGUUGUAAAGCUCUUUCACCGAUGAAGAUAAUGACGGUAGUCGGAGAAGAAGCCCCGGCUAACUUCGUGCCAGCAGCCGCGGUAAU
RNAcentral lists this ribosomal RNA (173 nucleotides) under uncultured bacterium. RNAcentral describes it as "partial 16S ribosomal RNA". It matches the Rfam family "Bacterial small subunit ribosomal RNA", at positions 334 to 524 of the family's 1533-position model. The record is from RNAcentral.